UCUCCGUUGGUGAACCAGCGGAGGGAUCAUUACCGAGUUUACAACUCCCAAACCCAAUGUGAACGUUACCAAACUGUUGCCUCGGCGGGGUCACGCCCCGGGUGCGUCGCAGCCCCGGAACCAGGCGCCCGCCGGAGGAACCAACCAAACUCUUUCUGUAGUCCCCUCGCGGACGUUAUUUCUUACAGCUCUGAGCAAAAAUUCAAAAUGAAUCAAAACUUUCGACAACGGAUCUCUUGGUUCUG
Molecule: unclassified non-coding RNA, 245 nt
Filed under: plant metagenome
Description: partial contains small subunit ribosomal RNA, internal transcribed spacer 1, and 5.8S ribosomal RNA
Source: RNAcentral